AUACAGAGGGCUCGAGCGUUGAUCGGAAUCAUUGGGCUUAAAGGGUACGUAGGCGGGCUUGAAAGUAUCUUGUGAAAUCCCACGGCUCAACCGUGGAACUGCGAGGUAAACUUCAAGUCUUGAGAUCGGUAGAGGUUGUCGGAACAAUAGGUGGAGCGGUGAAAUGCGUAGAUAUCUAUUGGAACGCCAAAGGAGAAGUCAGACAACUGGGCCGAAUCUGACGCUGAGGUACGAAAGCGUGGGUAGCGAACGGGAUUAGAAACCCUAGUAGUCC
This 274-nucleotide ribosomal RNA is filed under the name uncultured bacterium. Its description in RNAcentral is "partial 16S ribosomal RNA". It matches the Rfam family "Bacterial small subunit ribosomal RNA", at positions 523 to 796 of the family's 1533-position model. The record is from RNAcentral.